UGGAGAAGUUAACUUGAUGACCAGCUGGAGAAGUUUAGUUAAUUUACAUGAGACCAGACUAUACCCAUGACAUAAGCUGCCACAAUUCCAAGAAUUGGCCUCAAAGACCUUGGAAUUUAAGACUAACUCCACCUAAAACAAUCAAGAUAGCACUGGUCAGACCACCAAUUUGAAUAUGACUCUCAGAGCUGACUGCAGUUUCUGCAUAUAGUCCCCCCUCCACUUCUGUCUAUAAAAGCUCUUGCCAGUGGUUGCCAGUGGGAGGAAGUCAGCCUUUGGACUGAUGUCUGCUCCCCCCAUUCCCAGCUGCCAGCAUCUGCAACAAAGCAAGCUUUCCUUUCCACCAACCUGGGCUGUUCAUUGGCUUUUGAAUGGCGAGCAGCCAGACCCCACAUACACCUUUCGGUAACAGAUCUGUCGCCCAGCGUGGGGCUGACUACUGCUGGCUCCUGUGCUUUCAUGGUUCUCCUGAGUUUUCCAGGGGAGAGCUGUGGCCAUGACAGUGUAUGUGCUUGCGGCUUGUGGCUACUUAGCCACAAGUAGAGGAUUUGGAUGACGCUCCUAGAAUCUGCCAAAAUUAAUUGUUUCAAGGAUUCUCCCUGUUUCUCCCCUGCUCAGCACUGGCUGCCAACUUAAUGCUUUUUCUUGAUAGAAUGGAAACUUGCACUUGGGAUAAGCUGAUGAGCUCCGAGACCGGACAAGCGAUUCCUGUGUGCUCAGAAGAGGAACCUCAUCUUAGAAGGAUUGACAUACUUUGAAAAGAUGGCCUUUAGAAGCAAGGCAAAGCUACAGUCAAUUGUGUGAGACAUGGUCUGCAGGAGGAAAAUCUGAUGUGUUUUUGGACUGCCCUCAGGGUGAAAGACCUCAUUCUAGCUGAGGGUGCUGUCUUGGGCCAAGAAGAGAUAACGAACCAAGAACAGUGUAAUUUCAGGCUCCCUGCGGACAGGCGCAGACCACAGGGCAUUUUUCAACACAUAGCUGGUGAGGCUUGCAUUUCUGGCCAAGUGAGCACUCUUUCCACAGCCUCUCCUCACAGAGAACCCAAAGCUGGUAGGACACAGCCUGAGUAUCUCUUGAGACUACUAGACAGACCCAGUAAGAAACAAAGUCUUGAUUUGGAACAAGGAUGCCUUUGCCUGACUCUCACAUUCACUAGCUAAU
Bos indicus x Bos taurus (hybrid cattle) is the source of this 1161-nucleotide long non-coding RNA. NCBI's taxonomy places the organism in Eukaryota, Metazoa, Chordata, Mammalia, Artiodactyla, Bovidae. The record is from Ensembl.